CCCUUAGAUGUCCUGGGCCGCACGCGCGCUACACUGAUGCAUGCAACGAGUUUAUAACCUUGGCCUGAAAGGUCUGGGUAAUCUUUUGAACGUGCAUCGUGAUAGGGAUAGAUUAUUGCAAUUGUUAAUCUUGAACGAGGAAUUCCUAGUAAACGCGAGUCAUCAGCUCGCAUUGAUUACGUCCCUGCCCUUUGUACACACCGCCCGUCGCACCUACCGAUUGAAUGGUUCGGUGAGCUCUUCGGACUGCGCGGUCUGCAGUUUCUGCGUUCCGUGCGGAAAGUUGCGCAAACCUUAACAUUUAGAGGAAGGAGAAGUCGUAACA
Molecule: ribosomal RNA, 325 nt
Filed under: uncultured eukaryote
Lineage: Eukaryota
Description: partial 18S ribosomal RNA
Rfam family: Eukaryotic small subunit ribosomal RNA
Source: RNAcentral